AGCAGUGGGGAAUUUUGGACAAUGGGCGCAAGCCUGAUCCAGCAAUGCCGCGUGAGUGAAGAAGGCCUUCGGGUUGUAAAGCUCUUUUGUCAGGGAAGAAACGGUGAGGGCUAAUAUCUCUUGCUAAUGACGGUACCUGAAGAAUAAGCACCGGCUAACUACGUGCCAGCAGCCGCGGUAAUACGUAGGGUGCAAGCGUUAAUCGGAAUUACUGGGCGUAAGCGUGCGCAGGCGGUUUUGUAAGUUUGUCGUGAAAGCCCCGGGCUCAACCUGGGAAUUGCGAUGAAGACUGCAAGGCUUGAAUCUGGCAGAGGGGGGUAGAAUUCCACGUGUAGCAGUGAAAUGCGUAGAGAUGUGGAGGAACACCGAUGGCGAAGCAGCCCCCUGGGUCAAGAUUGACGCUCAUG
This 407-nucleotide ribosomal RNA is filed under the name uncultured bacterium. Its description in RNAcentral is "bacterial SSU rRNA". It matches the Rfam family "Bacterial small subunit ribosomal RNA", at positions 350 to 751 of the family's 1533-position model. The record is from RNAcentral.